RNAcentral lists this ribosomal RNA (403 nucleotides) under uncultured prokaryote. RNAcentral describes it as "bacterial SSU rRNA". It matches the Rfam family "Bacterial small subunit ribosomal RNA", at positions 355 to 774 of the family's 1533-position model. The record is from RNAcentral.
UGGGGAAUAUUGCGCAAUGGGGGCAACCCUGACGCAGCAAUACCGCGUGAGUGAAGAAGGUUUUCGGAUCGUAAAGCUCUGUUAUUGGGGAAGAAAAAAGACGGUACCCAAGAAGAAAGUCCCGGCUAACCACGUGCCAGCAGCCGCGGUAAUACGUAGGGGACAAGCGUUGUCCGGAUUUACUGGGCGUAAAGGGCACGCAGGCGGUUUUUUAAGUCAGAUGUGAAAGGUACCGGCUCAACCGGUGACAUGCAUUUGAAACUGAAAGACUUGAGUAUUGGAGAGGCAAGUGGAAUUCCUAGUGUAGCGGUGAAAUGCGUAGAUAUUAGGAGGAACACCGGUGGCGAAGGCGGCUACCUGGACCGAUAUUGACGCUGAGACGCGAAAGCGUGGGGAGCAAACA